ACCGAGCUGGCAAGCUCCGAGCUCUAGUGGCAGAAGAUGACCUUGAGCUCGCGCGGCGCGGCGCACUCGUGGGUGAGCGAGGGGCUGUCGUGCGCGUAGGUGAAGGCCUGCGGGCACUCGCGCUUGAAGAACUCCGAGUACUUGGACGCGCGGCAGGUGCGCGGGCUGUUGUACAUGUUGCGGCAGCACAGCUCGUCGGUGCGGAACGCCUCGCAGCCGCUCUUGCACGCGAGGACGCUCCCCGCCGGGGACCGCAGCUGCAGCUCGCCGGGGCAGGUCUCGGUGAGGUUCCUGCGGCAGGCCAGGACGGGGCAGUUGCCCCGGCCCUCGUGCGGGGUCACGGACAGGCCCACGUUGAAGCCGUCCACCACGCUCACCCCGUACGAGGUCUGGUCGUUGCCGUGGUGGAG
This 410-nucleotide long non-coding RNA is filed under the name Sorghum bicolor (sorghum). RNAcentral's name for it is "long non-coding RNA (SBIC_LNC005768)". The record is from RNAcentral. Lineage: Eukaryota; Viridiplantae; Streptophyta; Magnoliopsida; Poales; Poaceae.